Molecule: long non-coding RNA, 1586 nt
Filed under: Homo sapiens (human)
Lineage: Eukaryota; Metazoa; Chordata; Mammalia; Primates; Hominidae
Description: HSALNT0290826
Source: RNAcentral
UGUUGCAUUUUCUAUGGCUUUUACUUGCCUAGCUCUUUAAGGGAAGGUAUUGUGUCUUCCUCAGCUUUGAGGCCCCUAGCCCUAUCCCGGGAACAUUUGCUGAAGUGCAGAGAAAAGCAGAGGGCUGGCAGCAUGUAAAGGAGCCCAGGCAUCUGAGGCCCACAUGACAGUUUCAUCCUCAUCCAGGGCUGGUCCCUCCAUGUCGAGGUGGGGCUGACAAAUCACAAAGGUCAGGCUGGAUCAAACCCAGGGCAGCCCACAGUGCAUUGUGACCAGGGCUUUUAUGAGCCUCAUUGCUCAGUUAUAAAAGCCAACCUGGCCCUGCCCCGUGGAAAGAAAACAUCUAUCAAAGGCUCUGAGUUGGCCACAACUGGAUUAAGUGUGUUUGCAGCUUCCAAUCUCUAGCUGUGACAAGACAGCGUGUCUGUGCAAAUCCAGUGGCUUAAAACUCCAGGAAGCAGAUCAAGGGUUAGAAAAAUGGCCCUGAGUGUUGCACCUCCUUGCUGGGGAGCAUGAGUUGGAAGGCAUUGCCUAGGAGGAACUAUUUUGAUCUCCAAAACUCUCACCCUGACUCACCCUAAGUGAUUGAGUCAUCACUGUGACGGAUAUUGAAGACCUCAGAAGCGAAACCUUGGCUGAUACUUCACUUUGCUUCUGAAGACACCCUGGAAGCUGAGAAGUCCUCUUAGCUUUGAGUCAGCAAGGUGGCCAUGGCCAAGGAACACCCGAUGGCAUGACCUUUAGCUAAGGAGCUCAGAAAUGCCAGUGCUAACAAACAGCCAGCCCCAAGCACAGCAUCCGCCCUGCGGGGCCACACUAGAAACCCUAGGAAGACACAGAGGACCCGCUCACCUGCUUUGAUAAAAAUACAAGUUACCAUGUGAAUUUUGUGGGUUAUCUCCUUUUAUCCUUACAACCACAUUAUGAGGUGUUCUUAUCCUGGUUCACCAAGGAUGACUUUGAACCCACUGGGAGUUAAGUGACCUCCCUUCCCCCAGGCCCACAGGGCUGGUGAGCAGGGAAAGUGGAGGUUCCAUGGUACUGACUUUGGGGCCUACGCUAAUCAAUCCACUGCCCACGCUGCCUCCAUGGCCUCUUCAGGGGACGUGAUCAGCCGUUCCCUGCCCUAAUGGUGGCCUCCUGAGCUUUGGUCAUAUCCAGCCAUCCUCUCACGGCUGGGCUUUACAUUUUUUGGCCAGUAACAUGAGACUAAAAACUCCAGGGAGAAUUCAUAUCUGCACUGAUGCUUCCUGCACCCUGAAGAAAGCAGAUCCAGAAAAGCAUUUCUGUAGCUGUAACUCUGCCCAAGAAUGGGAAGCCCAUCAACUCCAACCCAAGACAGAUGAGGGCAGGUCUCCCCCUGCAUGGCACGCGUGUGUUCCCGAGAAAGAAACAUGGCGGCAAGUCACCGCCGCUCCACGUAGCCGUGGAGAGCUAAAGAGGAUUAGUUCUGAUGUGGACAAAGUCCUAAGGGAAGGUGCAUGCAGAUGGGGUCACCUCAGGGGUCUACUGACCUCAGGAACCCGUGUAGCUCCUGUCCCUCUCUUCCCUCCAGGGACACAGGAGAAAACAGAACUGGAAUUUGA